Molecule: small nuclear RNA, 104 nt
Filed under: Ursus thibetanus thibetanus
Lineage: Eukaryota; Metazoa; Chordata; Mammalia; Carnivora; Ursidae
Description: U2 spliceosomal RNA (ENSUTTG00000017648.1)
Rfam family: U2 spliceosomal RNA
About the family: U2 is a small nuclear RNA (snRNA) component of the spliceosome (involved in pre-mRNA splicing).
Source: RNAcentral
AUUGCUUCUCGGCCUUUUGGCUAAGAUCAAGUGUAGUAUCUGUUCUUAUCAGUGUAUUCAUACAAUGGAAUACCACUUAGUAGUAAAAAAAAAUAAUAAGCUAU